AUGGUUUGAAGGUUUAAUUCCAUGCAGAGCACGUUGCAGAAAUCAAACCUCAAGGUGACAGAUAAUCAUAGAGAGGUCCUUAUCCAAGAGAAAAGGACACAACCUUCUUGCCAGUCACAGCUAACAAAGAGCUUGGCAGAGCAGAGAUUCCAUCUUGGACUCAGUGAACACCACAAGACUAACAAGACUUUGCAGAUUUGUAGGCCUUGAUUUACCGCAGAACAAUACAGAGCCUCAGAGGAAAAGUUAUAGUUGCAUACUUCAUCAUUCUACUUAAGCUACCUCUCAAAAUCCAGCAGGUCCAAGGGAAUGGAGAGAUGUGUGGGACACACAAGUGGAUGGCAGCUCAACCCCACCUGGAACUCGGAAGUGUGCUGAAGAAGAAGAAUGUACAAGAAAUCUUCUCUGAGAUCCUUUCUGUUUCAUAAGCAAAGGAAGGCAGAAGAUUCUGGAAGUGAAUCACUGGCUAGCACUUGACACUGAAUGCAAAGCCGUAUGGACAGCUUCCUUUGCCGUGCCUUGCCUUUCCAAUUGUAACAGUCCCUCUGAG
Molecule: long non-coding RNA, 550 nt
Organism: Malaclemys terrapin pileata
Lineage: Eukaryota; Metazoa; Chordata; Testudines; Emydidae
Exons: 5
Source: RefSeq, a predicted model, not a curated record